GUCUACGAUGGUACUACGUUGAAUGCACCGCAUCCCGUCACAUCUGCGAAGUCAAGUAACGUUAGGCCGAGUAAGUACCAUGUUUGCAUACAACAUGGGAACUCUCGGAGUCGUAGACG
This 119-nucleotide ribosomal RNA is filed under the name Trichuris muris. The record is from RNAcentral. Lineage: Eukaryota; Metazoa; Nematoda; Enoplea; Trichinellida; Trichuridae.